UACGUAGGGGGCAAGCGUUGUCCGGAUUUAUUGGGCGUAAAGAGCGUGUAGGCGGCCUGAAAGGUCAGCUGUGAAAACUCGAGGCUCAACCUCGAGACGUCGGUUGAAACCAUCUGGCUAGAGUCCGGAAGAGGAGUGUGGAAUUCCCGGUGUAGCGGUGAAAUGCGCAGAUAUCGGGAAGAACACGCGUGGCGAAGGCGGCACUCUGGGACGGUACUGACGCUGAGACGCGAAAGCGUGGGGAGCGAACAGG
Molecule: ribosomal RNA, 253 nt
Filed under: uncultured bacterium
Lineage: Bacteria
Description: partial 16S ribosomal RNA
Rfam family: Bacterial small subunit ribosomal RNA
Source: RNAcentral